This 397-nucleotide ribosomal RNA is filed under the name uncultured bacterium. RNAcentral describes it as "partial 16S ribosomal RNA". It matches the Rfam family "Bacterial small subunit ribosomal RNA", at positions 523 to 918 of the family's 1533-position model. The record is from RNAcentral.
CUACGUAGGGGGCGAGCGUUGUCCGGAAUGAUUGGGCGUAAAGGGCGCGUAGGCGGCGCGGUAAGUCUGGAGUGAAAGUCCUGCUUUCAAGGUGGGAAUUGCUUUGGAUACUGCCGCGCUUGAGUGCAGGAGAGGUUAUCGGAAUUCCCGGUGUAGCGGUGAAAUGCGUAGAGAUCGGGAGGAACACCAGUGGCGAAGGCGGGUAACUGGACUGCAACUGACGCUGAGGCGCGAAAGUGUGGGGAGCAAACAGGAUUAGAUACCCUGGUAGUCCACACUGUAAACGAUGAAUGCUAGGUGUAAGAGGUAUCGACCCCUUUUGUGCCGGAGUCAACACAAUAAGCAUUCCGCCUGGGGAGUACGGCCGCAAGGUUGAAACUUAAAGGAAUUGACGGGG